GCUCAUAACAUGCAUGGGUCAUCCUCAAGGGAGAAAAGCAUGGAAGAAAAAUUUGACUAUCUUGUACAACUAUUGGAAACAAUGAACUCAAAGGCAAGGAAUAAAAACUCUGACUUCUGUGAAAGCCCAGCUUCA
This is a non-coding RNA of Prunus avium (sweet cherry), 135 nucleotides long. Lineage: Eukaryota; Viridiplantae; Streptophyta; Magnoliopsida; Rosales; Rosaceae. The record is from RefSeq and is a predicted model, not a curated record.